RNAcentral lists this ribosomal RNA (270 nucleotides) under uncultured bacterium. Its description in RNAcentral is "partial 16S ribosomal RNA". It matches the Rfam family "Bacterial small subunit ribosomal RNA", at positions 524 to 794 of the family's 1533-position model. The record is from RNAcentral.
UACGUAGGGGCAAGCGUUGUCCGGAAUUAUUGGGCGUAAAGAGCGCGUAGGCGGUCCGGUAAGUCUGCCGUGAAAGCCAGGGGCUCAACCCUUGGAUGCCGGUGGAUACUGUCGGGCUAGAGUCCGGAAGAGGCGAGUGGAAUUCCUGGUGUAGCGGUGGAAUGCGCAGAUAUCAGGGAGAACACCGGUGGCGAAGGCGGCUCUCUGGGCCUUACCUGACGCUGAGGAGCGAAAGCGUGGGUAGCGAACAGGAUUAGAAACCCUAGUAGU